This 1678-nucleotide long non-coding RNA is filed under the name Geospiza fortis (medium ground-finch). RNAcentral describes it as "lncRNA (ENSGFOG00000003164.1)". The record is from RNAcentral. Lineage: Eukaryota; Metazoa; Chordata; Aves; Passeriformes; Thraupidae.
GGGUGGGCCCGGGCAGUGAGUGGGGAGGGGCUGGUGGUGAGUGGGCGGGGCUUCAAAGGGGAAGGGGCGGGGCCUGGCAUCGAGCGGGCUUGGGGGGUCCCUGGGGAGUUUUGGGGAGUCCCAGGGGGGAUUUUUGGGUGGAUUUGGGGCAAAAUUUAGGAUGGAUUUGAAGUGGAAUUUUGGGAUGGAUUUGGGGUGGAAUUUGAGGAGGUUUUGGGCUGGAUUUGGGGCAGAAUUUGGGAUUUUUUUGGAGUGGACUUGGGAGGAAUUUGGGCUGGAUUUGUGGUGGAAUUUGGGAUUUUUUGGGGUGGAUUUGAGGUGAAAUUUGGGCUUUUUUGGGGGCAGAAUUUAGGAUUUUUUGAGGUGGAAUUUGGGAUGGAUUUGAGAGGGGAUUUAAGGCAGAAUUUGGGGUGGACCUGAGGUGGAAUUUGGGAUCUUUUUGGGCUGAAUUUAGGAAGAGUUGGGAAUGGAUUUGGAGCAGAAUUUGGGCUGGAUUUGGGGUGAAAUUUGGGCUAUUUUUGGGGCAGAAUUUGGGCUAAUUUUGGGGCAAAAUUUGGGAUUUUUUGGGGCUAUUUUUGGAGCUGAAUGUAGGAUUUUUGGGGCAGAACUUGGGAUUUUUUGGGGCAGAAUUGGGGAUUUUUUGGGCUAUUUUUGGAGAACAAUGUAGGAUUUUUGGGGCAGAAUUUGGGAUUGUUUUGGGGCAAAAUUUGGGAUUUUUUUGGGGCUAUUUUUGGAGCAGAAUGUAGGAUUUUUGGGGCAGAAUUUGGGAUUUUUUUGGGGACCAUUCCCCCACCUUGGCCGUUGCGUCCCUCCUGGGAGCGCAGGCGGAUCCAGUGGUCCGAGAUGUUGAGGAUGACCAGGGGGUGCAGGGCCACGGACACGCUGCCGGUCACUCCUCCGGCCAUCACCUGAGGCGCCCCUGCCACGGAAAAUUCCAGAACAUUCGGGAAUUCCGGGGAAUUUUGGGGUCAUUCCCGGUAAUUCUGGGAUCGUUCCCAGUGCCAUUCCCAGGCUCUUGGGCUGUUCCCGGGAUUUUGGGACAAUUUUUGGUCCUCCUGGGGCCAUUCCCGGUAAUUUCGAGGCUCCCUUUGAUUUAUUUCCCCUCACGAUCUCCCCCAUCCCGGUGCCGUUCCCGUUAUUCCCGGAGCCAUUCCCGAUUAUCCCAUCGCCAUUCCCGGUAUUUCCUCCCUUAUUCCCGGUAAUUUUGGGGCCAUUCCCGGUAAUUUUGAGGACAUUCCCGGUAAUUUUGAGGCUCCUCCUGAAUUUUUUCCCCUCACGAUCUCCCCCAUCCCGGUGCCGUUCCCGGUACCGCUCUCGGUGCCCCCCUCACCGCUCCCGGUGCUCCCCCCGUUCCCUGCCCCAUCCCCCGUUAAUCCCGAGGACAUUCCCGGUAAUUUUGAGGCUCCUCCUGAUCCCGGGCCCCCCCCCGGGCCCCGCUCCUCCCCCGCAGGAGCCGCCGCCUCCCGGCGCCGCCGCCGCCAUCUUGGAGCCCUCACGGGGCAUGCGAAAGGAGCAAGGGGGCGGGGCUUGAGAACUCAUUGUGAUUGGACAACGCUACGAUUGGGCGGGGCUUUGUGGAGGAGAGGCUUUGAUGCUAAAUUUUGAUUGGGCAAAGCAUCAAGAGGCGGGGCUUAAAAGGGCGGGAUGUGAGAGCGGAGUUUUGAUUGGUCAAUGCUUU